UCACUGGAGCCCAGGUGUUUGAAUCCAGACUGGGCAACAUAGUAAGACCCCAUCUCAGAAAAAUGUUAUUAAAGAAAAAAGCUCAGUUGCUAACAGUUUGGUGGUUCUUCAAAAACCUAAACAUAGAAUUACCAUAUGACAUAACAGUUCCUUUCCUAGGUAUAUACUCAAAAAAAUUAAAGACAGGGACUCAAACAGAUAGCAAAGCAAUAAUGUUGAUUGUAGUGAAAAGGUCUUAACAACCCCAUUGUCCAGCACUGUUUGAGUGGGUAAACAAAAUGUGGUAUAUAAAACACACAGUGGAAUACCAUUCAACCAGAAAAAGGAAUGAAGCUCUGAUAUAUAGUACAACAUAGAAGGACCUUGACAACAUGCUGAGUGAAACAGGCCAGUUACCAGAGGGCAAGUAUUAAAUGAUUUCACUUAUAUGAAAUGUCAACAAUAGGCGAAUUCAUAGAGAUAGAAAGUAGAUUAAAGAUUGUCAGAGUUUGGGAUUGGUAGGUGUUAUUGCUAAAUGGUUACAGAGUUUCUGUUUGAAGUGCUGGAAAAGUUUUGGCGACAGAUAGUGGUGAUAAUGAACCCCACUGAAUUGUAUACUUAAAUGUGGUUAAUGUAAAUUUUAUUAUAUCUAUUUUACCACAGUUUAAAAAAGCUCAGUUUCUAGAAAAAAUUUACCUCUUAAGUGUUGCCGUUCUGUGUAGCUAGUAGUUUAUAAAAUUUUGUAUAUACAUUUUGCAUAAAUAGCUAAAAUGUAGGGAUUACAAAAACCUCCUUCAGUUAUAUUGCUGUUGGUUUGUUACGUAUUUUCCUUAAUGAUGGUCCAUGUUGCUUUUGGAGAAGAGAAUAUUGAACCAUUGGUUGAGUUUGUAAUGUCUAAAGUUAAGCCAGAGUUCUGGUGCUGUUAAAAUCUAGGAGUUAAAACUCUGAUCAUGGCAUGGUGGUUCAUGCAUGUAAUCCCACCUACUCAGGAGGGUGAGGCAGGAGAAUCGCUGGAACCCAGGAGGCAGAGGUUGCAGUGAGCUGAGAUUGCGCCAUUGCACUCCAGCCUGGCGACAGAGCAAGACUCCAUCUCAAGAAACAAACCAACAAAGAAUAAAAACCUCUGAUUAAGAUGUAUAGAUUUUCCAAUUCUUCCUUUUUGUGCUUUUCCAAUUUCCUUUUUCUAAGUUGAAUUGUUAGCCUCUUAAUUUGCUAAAAAAAAUCAAAUCAAAUUGAGUUUUGGUAUUCUUCUGUGGCUCUUUUCUAGUGGACUAAUGAUCUUUCCAAAAUUAGUGAAAACAGGCCUGGCUUGGUGGCUCAUGCCUAUAAUCCGAGCACUUUGUGAGGCCGAGGAGGGAAGAUUGCUGAGCCUAGCCUGGGCACCAUGGUAAAACUCUGUCUCUACAAAUAAUACAAAAAUUAGCCAGGCCUGGUGGCAUGUGCCAGUAGUCCCAGCUACUCGAGGGGGGUGGGAGUAUUGCUUGAGCCAGGGAGGUUGAGGCUGGAGUGAGCCCUGAUUGCAUCACUCCAAGCCUAAGACAGUGAGACCCUUUCCCAAAACAACCACAACAAA
Molecule: non-coding RNA, 1552 nt
Organism: Chlorocebus sabaeus (green monkey)
Lineage: Eukaryota; Metazoa; Chordata; Mammalia; Primates; Cercopithecidae
Source: RefSeq, a predicted model, not a curated record